This 383-nucleotide ribosomal RNA is filed under the name uncultured bacterium. RNAcentral describes it as "bacterial SSU rRNA". It matches the Rfam family "Bacterial small subunit ribosomal RNA", at positions 28 to 411 of the family's 1533-position model. The record is from RNAcentral.
GACGAACGCUGGCGGCGUGCUUAACACAUGCAAGUCGAGCGGUAAGGCCCUUUCGGGGGUACGACGAGCGGCGAACGGGUGAGUAACACGUGGGUGACCUGCCCUCAGCUCUGGGAUAAGCCUGGGAAACUGGGUCUAAUACUGGAUAUGACUCCACGGUGCAUGUCGUGGGGUGGAAAGCCUUGUGCGGCUGAGGAUGGGCCCGCGGCCUAUCAGCUUGUUGGUGGGGUGAGGCCUACCAAGGCGACGACGGGUAGCCGGCCUGAGAGGGCGACCGGCCACACUGGGACUGAGACACGGGCCCAGACUCCUACGGGAGGCAGCAGUGGGGAAUCUUGCGCAAUGGGCGAAAGCCUGACGCAGCGACGCCGCGUGAGGGAUGA